GGUGCUGUGGCUCGGUGAUAGAGGAUCUGCUUUGUGUGCAGAAUGUCCCAGGUUCGAUCCCUGGUAUCUCCA
RNAcentral lists this transfer RNA (72 nucleotides) under Sphaerodactylus townsendi. Its description in RNAcentral is "tRNA-Thr". It matches the Rfam family "tRNA". Rfam says of the family: Transfer RNA (tRNA) molecules are approximately 80 nucleotides in length. Their secondary structure includes four short double-helical elements and three loops (D, anti-codon, and T loops). Lineage: Eukaryota; Metazoa; Chordata; Lepidosauria; Squamata; Sphaerodactylidae. The record is from RNAcentral.